CAUAAACAACCACAGAACCACAAGUUGGGUAGGCUGGCAGUGUCAGAAGUCUGAGCCCGGCAUAGUGGUCAGCAGGCAGGACGAAUCACACUGAAUGCAAACCACAGGGUUUCGCAGAGUGGUGAGCAUCCUCAACCCACAGCCAAAGCGGCGCUUUUUUUCCCCCCUUCUUAAUCUUUAACAAUUUGAAUAUUUGUUUUCGCGAAGGUACAUUUUUCAUAGGGCUUGGGGAGUCCCAGUGGUGUGGAGGGGGAGGAAAAAGAGAUGCAAGGAGCCAUGGGCAGAGGUGAGGUUGAAACAGUGACCUUUCUUGGUUUUCGCUCUUAAGGUAAAUCAUUGAAUCCCCUGCCUUCAGAAGAGGGUACAUUUUCAGAAGGAAGCGAUGGCUUCAGACAGCAUAUUUGAGUCAUUU
This 412-nucleotide long non-coding RNA is filed under the name Marmota monax (woodchuck). Lineage: Eukaryota; Metazoa; Chordata; Mammalia; Rodentia; Sciuridae. The record is from RNAcentral.